UACAGAGGGUGCAAGCGUUACUCGGAAUUACUGGGCGUAAAGCGUGCGUAGACGGUUAUGUAAGUCAGGUGUGAAAGCCCCGGGCUCAACCUGGGAAUUGCAUUUGAGACUGCAUAGCUAGGGUGCGGAAGAGGGAAGCGGAAUUUCCGGUGUAGCGGUGAAAUGCGUAGAUAUCGGAAGGAACAUCAGUGGCGAAAGCGGCUUCCUGGUCCAGCACCGACGUUCAGGCACGAAAGCGUGGGGAGCAAACAGG
RNAcentral lists this ribosomal RNA (253 nucleotides) under uncultured bacterium. RNAcentral's name for it is "partial 16S ribosomal RNA". It matches the Rfam family "Bacterial small subunit ribosomal RNA", at positions 524 to 776 of the family's 1533-position model. The record is from RNAcentral.